AGUUCGUACUGUGAAGCAUCCUGUUAAGUCAGGCAACGAGCGAGACCCACGCCCACAGUUGCCAGCGUACUCUCCGGAGUGACGGGUACACUGUGGGGACCGCCGCUGCUAAAGCGGAGGAAGGAAUGGGCAACGGUAGGUCAGUAUGCCCCGAAUAUCCCGGGCUACACGCGAGCUACAAUGGUUGGUACAAUGGGUAUCUACCCCGAAAGGGGACGGAAAUCUCCUAAAACCAAUCUUAGUUCGGAUUGAGGGCUGCAACUCGCCCUCAUGAAGCUGGAAUCCGUAGUAAUCGCGUUUCAACAGAACGCGGUGAAUACGUUCCCGGGCCUU
Molecule: ribosomal RNA, 333 nt
Filed under: uncultured Methanosaeta sp.
Lineage: Archaea; Methanobacteriati; Methanobacteriota; Methanomicrobia; Methanotrichales; Methanotrichaceae
Description: bacterial SSU rRNA
Rfam family: Archaeal small subunit ribosomal RNA
Source: RNAcentral